AUGUCUUCCUCAAGCUCCCGCGCCACCUCGCGGAUGCAGAGCCGGGCGCGUGUGGACAUGCCUGUCUUCGUCUGUCCGUGGUGCUGGGCGGGCGUUGAUCGGAGGGUUUCUCAGACACUGAGGGACCAGAAUCGUCCGUUCUACGUGUGCAGCGAGAAUGGGGUGACAUGCUUCUUUCUUUGGGUCAAUGCUUUGGCCAAGACUAUGAAUGAACUGCAAGAAGAGCAUGAAGAAUGGUUGCGCAUGCUGCCACGAGCUGAAGUGGCCGCACCACGAGCUCCGGAAGAAGAGAUGGAGGCGGCACGCACUGACAGAGAGCUAGCUGUUGAGCUUAGGAUGUUGAAGAAGAAGGUUAGGAAGCUUGAAGAUCAAGCACUACCAAUACCCAUUUGCAAAUACUUAUGGGCAUUUGUAGGUAUGGUGAUCGCAUUGGUUGUAAUGUUGAAAAUGUAUGGAAAGGCAUGA
This 465-nucleotide ribosomal RNA is filed under the name Triticum aestivum (bread wheat). RNAcentral describes it as "partial small subunit ribosomal RNA". The record is from RNAcentral. Lineage: Eukaryota; Viridiplantae; Streptophyta; Magnoliopsida; Poales; Poaceae.